Molecule: transfer RNA, 87 nt
Filed under: Sedimenticola sp.
Lineage: Bacteria; Pseudomonadati; Pseudomonadota; Gammaproteobacteria; Chromatiales; Sedimenticolaceae
Description: tRNA-Leu
Rfam family: tRNA
About the family: Transfer RNA (tRNA) molecules are approximately 80 nucleotides in length. Their secondary structure includes four short double-helical elements and three loops (D, anti-codon, and T loops). Further hydrogen bonds mediate the characteristic L-shaped molecular structure. tRNAs have two regions of fundamental functional importance: the anti-codon, which is responsible for specific mRNA codon recognition, and the 3' end, to which the tRNAs corresponding amino acid is attached (by aminoacyl-tRNA synthetases). tRNAs cope with the degeneracy of the genetic code in two manners: having more than one tRNA (with a specific anti-codon) for a particular amino acid; and 'wobble' base-pairing, i.e. permitting non-standard base-pairing at the 3rd anti-codon position.
Source: RNAcentral
GCCGGGGUGGCGAAAUUGGUAGACGCAGGGGAUUCAAAAUCCCCCGGGGGCAACCCCUUGCCGGUUCGAGUCCGGCUCCCGGUACCA